Molecule: ribosomal RNA, 1346 nt
Filed under: uncultured bacterium
Lineage: Bacteria
Description: bacterial SSU rRNA
Rfam family: Bacterial small subunit ribosomal RNA
Source: RNAcentral
GACGAACGCUGGCGGCGUGCUUAACACAUGCAAGUCGAACGGAAAGGCCCUGCUUUUGUGGGGUGCUCGAGUGGCGAACGGGUGAGUAACACGUGAGUAACCUGCCCUUGACUUUGGGAUAACUUCAGGAAACUGGGGCUAAUACCGGAUAGGAGCUCCUGCUGCAUGGUGGGGGUUGGAAAGUUUCGGCGGUUGGGGAUGGACUCGCGGCUUAUCAGCUUGUUGGUGGGGUAGUGGCUUACCAAGGCUUUGACGGGUAGCCGGCCUGAGAGGGUGACCGGCCACAUUGGGACUGAGAUACGGCCCAGACUCCUACGGGAGGCAGCAGUGGGGAAUAUUGCACAAUGGGCGGAAGCCUGAUGCAGCAACGCCGCGUGAGGGAUGACGGCCUUCGGGUUGUAAACCGCUUUCGCCUGUGACGAAGCGUGAGUGACGGUAAUGGGUAAAGAAGCACCGGCUAACUACGUGCCAGCAGCCGCGGUGAUACGUAGGGUGCGAGCGUUGUCCGGAUUUAUUGGGCGUAAAGGGCUCGUAGGUGGUUGAUCGCGUCGGAAGUGUAAUCUUGGGGCUUAACCCUGAGCGUGCUUUCGAUACGGGUUGACUUGAGGAAGGUAGGGGAGAAUGGAAUUCCUGGUGGAGCGGUGGAAUGCGCAGAUAUCAGGAGGAACACCAGUGGCGAAGGCGGUUCUCUGGGCCUUUCCUGACGCUGAGGAGCGAAAGCGUGGGGAGCGAACAGGCUUAGAUACCCUGGUAGUCCACGCUGUAAACGGUGGGUACUAGGUGUGGGGUCCAUUCCACGGGUUCCGUGCCGUAGCUAACGCUUUAAGUACCCCGCCUGGGGAGUACGGCCGCAAGGCUAAAACUCAAAGGAAUUGACGGGGCCCCGCACAAGCGGCGGAGCAUGCGGAUUAAUUCGAUGCAACGCGUAGAACCUUACCUGGGUUUGACAUGGAUCGGGAGCGCUCAGAGAUGGGUGUGCCUCUUUUGGGGUCGGUUCACAGGUGGUGCAUGGCUGUCGUCAGCUCGUGUCGUGAGAUGUUGGGUUAAGUCCCGCAACGAGCGCAACCCUUGUUCACUGUUGCCAGCACGUUAUGGUGGGGACUCAGUGGAGACCGCCGGGGUCAACUCGGAGGAAGGUGGGGAUGACGUCAAGUCAUCAUGCCCCUUAUGUCCAGGGCUUCACGCAUGCUACAAUGGCUGGUACAGAGAGUGGCGAGCCUGUGAGGGUGAGCGAAUCUCGGAAAGCCGGUCUCAGUUCGGAUUGGGGUCUGCAACUCGACCUCAUGAAGUCGGAGUCGCUAGUAAUCGCAGAUCAGCAACGCUGCGGUGAAUACGUUCCCGGGGCU